UUCUAGCUUUAUAAUACGUUAUAGGUACAUACAUAAAGACCUACAUUUUUAUUAUAAAACUCAAUUAUAAUUAUUGCAAGACGAACAUCACCAGCAUGUUUCAAUUUUCAAUGCGAGAACUGUGAUGCCAUAAUGGCAGAAGCCACUUUCUUGUCUACAUCUCAAAAAAUAGAAAUUGCACGGGCGUGAAAUCUACGUACAGCAGUGAUGAGAUUCUGGAAUUCCAUUGUCUGCAAUGUCUACUCCUAUAAUUGAAGAGCAGAUGGAAGAAGCUGUAGUUUUGCAAAAUUUCAUGAUCGAUGAUGAUGCUGAUGAUUAUGAGAAUUCUCAAUUUCAACAACUUCCGGCCACUUCCUCCUUCAACGAUAAACUGUCGGUUCCUGCUGCCUAGAACCAUAGAUGAAGGAUAAUAUUUAUAUUUCUUGUCUCUGCUAGAACGUAGUGGUCAUUUUAUAAUCACUUCUUCCAUUACCAACACACAAGCCAAGGGCUCAUGUGGGUAUCACACUCCAAAAAUAAUACUUCGACACUGCAGUAUUUCAGCACUUGUUUAUAAUAAACAAUGACGAUUUUCUAAGAGAAGAAUAGUUUG
Nilaparvata lugens (brown planthopper) is the source of this 592-nucleotide long non-coding RNA. RefSeq lists it as uncharacterized. The record is from RefSeq and is a predicted model, not a curated record. The transcript has 3 exons. NCBI's taxonomy places the organism in Eukaryota, Metazoa, Arthropoda, Insecta, Hemiptera, Delphacidae.